AUUGAACGCUGGCGGCAGGCCUAACACAUGCAAGUCGAACGAGUGGCGGAAGGGUGAGUAAUGUCUGGGAAACUGCCUGAUGGAGGGGGAUAACUACUGGAAACGGUAGCUAAUACCGCAUACCAUCAGAUGUGCCCAGAUGGGAUUAGCUGGUUGGUGGGGUAACGGCUCACCAAGGCGACGAUCCCUAGCUGGUCUGAGAGGAUGACAGUCCACACUGGAACUGCGACACGUUCCAGACUCCUGCGGGAGGCAGCAGUGGGGAAUAUGGCACACUGGGCGCAAUCCUGAUGCAUCCAUGCCGCUGGUAUGAAGAAGGACUUCGGGUUGUAAAUUACUUUCAGCGGGGAGGCGUUACCCGCAGAAGAAGCACCGGCUAACUCCGUGCCAGCCGCCGCGGUAAUAC
This 406-nucleotide ribosomal RNA is filed under the name uncultured bacterium. RNAcentral's name for it is "partial 16S ribosomal RNA". It matches the Rfam family "Bacterial small subunit ribosomal RNA", at positions 30 to 526 of the family's 1533-position model. The record is from RNAcentral.